This 264-nucleotide ribosomal RNA is filed under the name uncultured Eubacteriales bacterium. Its description in RNAcentral is "uncultured Clostridiales bacterium partial 16S ribosomal RNA". It matches the Rfam family "Bacterial small subunit ribosomal RNA", at positions 74 to 339 of the family's 1533-position model. Lineage: Bacteria; Bacillati; Bacillota; Clostridia; Eubacteriales. The record is from RNAcentral.
CUUGCUCUUUCCGGAAUUGAGUGGCAAACGGGUGAGUAACACGUAAACAACCUGCCUUCAGGAUGGGGACAACAGACGGAAACGACUGCUAAUACCGCAUGACACAUAGGUGUCGCAUGGCACUUAUGUCAAAGAUUUAUUGCUGAAAGAUGGCCUCGCGUCUGAUUAGAUAGUUGGUGAGGUAACGGCCCACCAAGUCAACGAUCAGUAGCCGGACUGAGAGGUUGAACGGCCACAUUGGGACUGAGAUACGGCCCAGACUCC